GUCGUUGACUUCAUCAAUUAUAUAUAGGAUUCGUAGGGAGGGCAGUGCAAUUAGAAUGAGGAUUAUGGCGGGUGAGAUGGGUCACU
Heterocephalus glaber (naked mole-rat) is the source of this 86-nucleotide non-coding RNA. The record is from RefSeq and is a predicted model, not a curated record. NCBI's taxonomy places the organism in Eukaryota, Metazoa, Chordata, Mammalia, Rodentia, Bathyergidae.